Molecule: unclassified non-coding RNA, 298 nt
Filed under: Hevea brasiliensis (rubber tree)
Lineage: Eukaryota; Viridiplantae; Streptophyta; Magnoliopsida; Malpighiales; Euphorbiaceae
Source: RNAcentral
AAGUGAUCAAGCUUAUCAAAGGAGACCCAUAGCAUCAUCAUCCACCAAAACCCAUCACCAUUAUUAUAAACAUUGAGCAAAUAGUUUUCCACAUCAAUCAUCACCUUCAUGAAAUCCAUAUUAGCUUUCUACUUUAUAUUGGUGGCAUUGAUCUAGACAUAUUUAGUGUGCCUCCUAAUUGACCAAAUGUAGAUGCCGGGUCAGAGUAGGAUGUGAUUGAGGUUAGCCUUCAGGUUUGUGUUGUUAAUUAUUAGUGACAUUAUUUUGGUCUCUGCUAUUGUUGAUUCUAGAGAGAGAA